This 2932-nucleotide ribosomal RNA is filed under the name Escherichia coli. RNAcentral describes it as "23S ribosomal RNA". It matches the Rfam family "Bacterial large subunit ribosomal RNA". Lineage: Bacteria; Pseudomonadati; Pseudomonadota; Gammaproteobacteria; Enterobacterales; Enterobacteriaceae. The record is from RNAcentral.
GGGUUGUGAGGUUAAGCGACUAAGCGUACACGGUGGAUGCCCCGGCAGUCAGAGGCGAUGAAGGACGUGCUAAUCUGCGAUAAGCGUCGGUAAGGUGAUAUGAACCGUUAUAACCGGCGAUUUCCGAAUGGGGAAACCCAGUGUGAUUCGUCACACUAUCAUUAACUGAAUCCAUAGGUUAAUGAGGCGAACCGGGGGAACUGAAACAUCUAAGUACCCCGAGGAAAAGAAAUCAACCGAGAUUCCCCCAGUAGCGGCGAGCGAACGGGGAGCAGCCCAGAGCCUGAAUCAGUGUGUGUGUUAGUGGAAGCGUCUGGAAAGGCGCGCGAUACAGGGUGACAGCCCCGUACACAAAAAUGCACAUACUGUGAGCUCGAUGAGUAGGGCGGGACACGUGGUAUCCUGUCUGAAUAUGGGGGGACCAUCCUCCAAGGCUAAAUACUCCUGACUGACCGAUAGUGAACCAGUACCGUGAGGGAAAGGCGAAAAGAACCCCGGCGAGGGGAGUGAAAAAGAACCUGAAACCGUGUACGUACAAGCAGUGGGAGCACGCUUAGGCGUGUGACUGCGUACCUUUUGUAUAAUGGGUCAGCGACUUAUAUUCUGUAGCAAGGUUAACCGAAUAGGGGAGCCGAAGGGAAACCGAGUCUUAACUGGGCGUUAAGUUGCAGGGUAUAGACCCGAAACCCGGUGAUCUAGCCAUGGGCAGGUUGAAGGUUGGGUAACACUAACUGGAGGACCGAACCGACUAAUGUUGAAAAAUUAGCGGAUGACUUGUGGCUGGGGGUGAAAGGCCAAUCAAACCGGGAGAUAGCUGGUUCUCCCCGAAAGCUAUUUAGGUAGCGCCUCGUGAAUUCAUCUCCGGGGGUAGAGCACUGUUUCGGCAAGGGGGUCAUCCCGACUUACCAACCCGAUGCAAACUGCGAAUACCGGAGAAUGUUAUCACGGGAGACACACGGCGGGUGCUAACGUCCGUCGUGAAGAGGGAAACAACCCAGACCGCCAGCUAAGGUCCCAAAGUCAUGGUUAAGUGGGAAACGAUGUGGGAAGGCCCAGACAGCCGGGAUGUUGGCUUAGAAGCAGCCAUCAUUUAAAGAAAGCGUAAUAGCUCACUGGUCGAGUCGGCCUGCGCGGAAGAUGUAACGGGGCUAAACCAUGCACCGAAGCUGCGGCAGCGACGCUUAUGCGUUGUUGGGUAGGGGAGCGUUCUGUAAGCCUGCGAAGGUGUGCUGUGAGGCAUGCUGGAGGUAUCAGAAGUGCGAAUGCUGACAUAAGUAACGAUAAAGCGGGUGAAAAGCCCGCUCGCCGGAAGACCAAGGGUUCCUGUCCAACGUUAAUCGGGGCAGGGUGAGUCGACCCCUAAGGCGAGGCCGAAAGGCGUAGUCGAUGGGAAACAGGUUAAUAUUCCUGUACUUGGUGUUACUGCGAAGGGGGGACGGAGAAGGCUAUGUUGGCCGGGCGACGGUUGUCCCGGUUUAAGCGUGUAGGCUGGUUUUCCGGGCAAAUCCGGAAAACUAAGGCUGAGGCGUGAUGACGAGGCACUACGGUGCUGAAGCAACAAAUGCCCUGCUUCCGGGAAAAGCCUCUAAGCAUCAGGUAACAUCAAAUCGUACCCCAAACCGACACAGGUGGUCAGGUAGAGAAUACCAAGGCGCUUGAGAGAACUCGGGUGAAGGAACUAGGCAAAAUGGUGCCGUAACUUCGGGAGAAGGCACGCUGAUAUGUAGGUGAAGUCCCUCGCGGAUGGAGCUGAAAUCAGUCGAAGAUACCAGCUGGCUGCAACUGUUUAUUAAAAACACAGCACUGUGCAAACACGAAAGUGGACGUAUACGGUGUGACGCCUGCCCGGUGCCGGAAGGUUAAUUGAUGGGGUCAGCGCAAGCGAAGCUCUUGAUCGAAGCCCCGGUAAACGGCGGUACCGUAACUAUAACGGUCCUAAGGUAGCGAAAUUCCUUGUCGGGUAAGUUCCGACCUGCACGAAUGGCGUAAUGAUGGCGGGCUGUCUCCACCCGAGACUCAGUGAAAUUGAACUCGCUGUGAAGAUGCAGUGUACCCGCGGCAAGACGGAAAGACCCCGUGAACCUUUACUAUAGCUUGACACUGAACAUUGAGCCUUGAUGUGUAGGAUAGGUGGGAGGCUUUGAAGUGUGGACGCCAGUCUGCAUGGAGCCGACCUUGAAAUACCACCCUUUAAUGUUUGAUGUUCUAACGUGGACCCGUGAUCCGGGUUGCGGACAGUGUCUGGUGGGUAGUUUGACUGGGGCGGUCUCCUCCUAAAGAGUAACGGAGGAGCACGAAGGUUGGCUAAUCCUGGUCGGACAUCAGGAGGUUAGUGCAAUGGCAUAAGCCAGCUUGACUGCGAGCGUGACGGCGCGAGCAGGUGCGAAAGCAGGUCAUAGUGAUCCGGUGGUUCUGAAUGGAAGGGCCAUCGCUCAACGGAUAAAAGGUACUCCGGGGAUAACAGGCUGAUACCGCCCAAGAGUUCAUAUCGACGGCGGUGUUUGGCACCUCGAUGUCGGCUCAUCACAUCCUGGGGCUGAAGUAGGUCCCAAGGGUAUGGCUGUUCGCCAUUUAAAGUGGUACGCGAGCUGGGUUUAGAACGUCGUGAGACAGUUCGGUCCCUAUCUGCCGUGGGCGCUGGAGAACUGAGGGGGGCUGCUCCUAGUACGAGAGGACCGGAGUGGACGCAUCACUGGUGUUCGGGUUGUCAUGCCAAUGGCACUGCCCGGUAGCUAAAUGCGGAAGAGAUAAGUGCUGAAAGCAUCUAAGCACGAAACUUGCCCCGAGAUGAGUUCUCCCUGACUCCUUGAGAGUCCUGAAGGAACGUUGAAGACGACGACGUUGAUAGGCCGGGUGUGUAAGCGCAGCGAUGCGUUGAGCUAACCGGUACUAAUGAACCGUGAGGCUUAACCUUACAACGCCGAAGGUGUUU